AGCGAACGCUGGCGGCAGGCCUAACACAUGCAAGUCGAACGAACUCUUCGGAGUUAGUGGCGGACGGGUGAGUAACACGUGGGAACGUGCCUUUUGGUUCGGUAUAACUCAGGGAAACUUGUGCUAAUACCGAAUGUGCCCUUCGGGGGAAAGAUUUAUCGCCAUUAGAGCGGCCCGCGUCUGAUUAGCUAGUUGGUGAGGUAACGGCUCACCAAGGCGACGAUCAGUAGCUGGUCUGAGAGGAUGACCAGCCACACUGGGACUGAGACACGGCCCAGACUCCUACGGGAGGCAGCAGUGGGGAAUCUUGCGCAAUGGGCGAAAGCCUGACGCAGCCAUGCCGCGUGAAUGAUGAAGGUCUUAGGAUUGUAAAAUUCUUUCACCGGGGACGAUAAUGACGGUACCCGGAGAAGAAGCCCCGGCUAACUUCGUG
Molecule: ribosomal RNA, 433 nt
Filed under: uncultured bacterium
Lineage: Bacteria
Description: partial 16S ribosomal RNA
Rfam family: Bacterial small subunit ribosomal RNA
Source: RNAcentral